RNAcentral lists this ribosomal RNA (398 nucleotides) under uncultured bacterium. Its description in RNAcentral is "partial 16S ribosomal RNA". It matches the Rfam family "Bacterial small subunit ribosomal RNA", at positions 359 to 774 of the family's 1533-position model. The record is from RNAcentral.
GAAUCUUGCGCAAUGGGCGAAAGCCUGACGCAGCCAUGCCGCGUGAAUGAUGAAGGUCUUAGGAUUGUAAAAUUCUUUCACCGGGGACGAUAAUUACGGUACCAGGAGAAGAAGCCCCGGCUAACUUCGUGCCAGCAGCCGCGGUAAUACGGAGGGGGCUCGCGUUGCUCGGAAUUACUGGGCGUAAAGGGAGCGUAGGCGGAUCGUUAAGUCGGAGGUGAAAUCACGGAGCUCAACUUCGGAAUUGCCUUUGAUACUGGCGAUCUUGAGUGUGAGAGAGGUAUGUGGAACUCCGAGUGUAGAGGUGAAAUUCGUAGAUAUUCGGAAGAACACCAGUGGCGAAGGCGGCUUUCUGGUCUGUAACUGACGCUGAGGCGCGAAAGCGUGGGGAGCAAACA